GUGAGGAAUAUUGCGCAAUGGAGGCAACUCUGACGCAGCCAUGCCGCGUGCAGGAAGAAGGCGCUACGCGUUGUAAACUGCUUUUAACCGGGAAGAAACCCCAGGACGUGUCCUGGGUUGACGGUACCGGAGGAAUAAGCACCGGCUAACUUCGUGCCAGCAGCCGCGGUAAUACGAAGGGUGCAAGCGUUAUCCGGAUUCAUUGGGUUUAAAGGGUGCGUAGGCGGAGCGUUAAGUCAGUGGUGAAAUCCUGCAGCUUAACUGUAGACUUGCCAUCGAUACUGGCGCUCUUGAGUGCGCUUGAAGUGGGCGGAAUGUGCCGUGUAGCGGUGAAAUGCUUAGAUAUGGCACAGAACACCAAUUGCGAAGGCAGCUCACUAAGGCGAUACUGACGCUGAGGCACGAAAGCGUGGGGAUCGAACAGGAUUAGAUACCCCAGUAGUCC
This 445-nucleotide ribosomal RNA is filed under the name uncultured bacterium. Its description in RNAcentral is "partial 16S ribosomal RNA". It matches the Rfam family "Bacterial small subunit ribosomal RNA", at positions 354 to 796 of the family's 1533-position model. The record is from RNAcentral.